UAAAUCUAAGACUAUGUUAUUGACUUACUGCAAGUUUAAAAGAGCAUUGUAACCUGGGUAAUGAAGCUGCGAUGUGAUGGGAUUGUAACUGGAACAUAUUACCUACACAGAAGGAGGAUCUCAACAGUUCAAGCAUUAUCUACUUCUAAGGCCAUUUUAAGUAUAUAACAACUUAAAAUAUAAAUCACAGAAAAAUAAUUGCACAGAGGAAGACAGCAAAAAAAGGAGGGCAAAGCGUCAUUUUAAGAAAGACAAGGACAUUGAACAGGUGAGAACAGAAGGAAAUGAAAUGCUUACCGAGCUCAUUCAACAACAGGGCUGUAAAGAGAACACAUAGAAGACAGACAAGGGAUAAGAAACAAAAAUGAAUAGUGAUAAUGGAGAUGUCAACAGAAAGAAGAACUGUAUGGCUUGAGGGGCACUCAGAGGCAGUCAUUUUAUGGGCUUGAUAAUCAUUUAGGAAGCGCCUCCAUGCUGGUUGGUAAUGGUGCCGCAUAGCUGGCACAGUCUUUAGUGAUUUAUUGAAAGACC
Molecule: long non-coding RNA, 531 nt
Organism: Hyla sarda
Lineage: Eukaryota; Metazoa; Chordata; Amphibia; Anura; Hylidae
Exons: 3
Source: RefSeq, a predicted model, not a curated record